UUCGAAGUGAUCUACGUGACCAGCCAUGGC
RNAcentral lists this non-coding RNA (30 nucleotides) under Mus musculus (house mouse). Lineage: Eukaryota; Metazoa; Chordata; Mammalia; Rodentia; Muridae. The record is from RNAcentral.